Molecule: ribosomal RNA, 230 nt
Filed under: uncultured microorganism
Description: partial 16S ribosomal RNA
Rfam family: Bacterial small subunit ribosomal RNA
Source: RNAcentral
UACGUAUGGAGCGAGCGUUGUCCGGAAUUAUUGGGCGUAAAGGGUACGCAGGCGGUUUAAUAAGUCGAAUGUUAAAGAUCGGGGCUCAACCCCGUAAAGCAUUGGAAACUGAUAAACUUGAGUAGUGGAGAGGAAAGUGGAAUUCCUAGUGUAGUGGUGAAAUACGUAGAUAUUAGGAGGAAUACCAGUAGCGAAGGCGACUUUCUGGACACAAACUGACGCUGAGGUAC